Molecule: long non-coding RNA, 1741 nt
Organism: Echinops telfairi (small Madagascar hedgehog)
Lineage: Eukaryota; Metazoa; Chordata; Mammalia; Afrosoricida; Tenrecidae
Exons: 2
Source: RefSeq, a predicted model, not a curated record
AUGUUCGCCCAACCUACCUUUCAAAGAUGCAGUGAGACGUGGUAUAGUUGCUGAGAAGCACUAAGGACAAAAGGAGGAGGAGGAGAGCCUAAAAGGCUAUGGAAUCUAAAAAUUUUAGUCUUAUUAGAAAGAAUCAGAUUGUUCUGGAAGUUCAACUUGACCCAUAUAGCAGCGUUGAUGCCUUCAUGGAAGAAGAAAUUGACAGCUAACCCAACCGAACACAGCCACUCAAGCCAAGAGACUCCUGGAAUAGAGAACGGAUCAUACUGACUCUGCAACUUGUUGCGACCAGGCUACAUACAACACCAGGAGCCUUUCCCCCUUCACAUUCACCAGGAGGGAGCACGGAAGGGUCACAACCCACACAAGCAUGAGUAAAGGAAAGACGCUGGCUUUAAUGAUUCUCUCUCUGUGAUCCACCACCACCAGAUAAACUGGCCCACAGAAGCUGAAGAAAGAGAGGCAUAUGGCCCAUUGGCCUCCCGUGUCCCUGGGCACAUGUCUAUCCUAUGGCUCUGAAGGAGGGAUCUGUUACUAUAAAAAAGGAAUGAGUCACAUAGAGGAGGUAACCAGUGGAUAGUGAGAGGGACAGUCUUCCACGGUGAGCUGUCCACAUAUUCUUGCCUGAACGCUGAAGGCUGGCCCAGGAGGCAGGCUUGCAGGAGACUAGGAACCCAAGUGGAAGGAAACCCAAGUCUACUAUAUACUCAUACAAGCAACAUUGCCUUGCAUAGAUAGCUUAUUUCAUCUUCCCUGUGAUGGUUCCACGGUAUUUUAAAUGGAAUGUUCUCACUUUUUACAAGAAUAAGCUGAGGCUCAUGGGGGUUGACUGACUUAUACAAGUUAGCAAAGAGUGGAGUACAGACUUGAAUUCAGGACUUUCAAGUGCUAAUUCCCAUGCUCUUUGCUCUAGACAAGAUCCUUCUGUGCUGAAGGGAUAGGGAGGGAGGCCGUGAUACUCAGUGACAGAUAUCCUUCAAGAAGUCUGUAAAAAAUGUAAUGAAAAGACAAUGGAUUUCCACCCACCCCCCAGGCCAUGUUUGAAGGCUGCUCAUAAAGUAGAUACUUCUUCCCAGCAGGGGAGCAGGGCCCUAUCUAUGCUCUGGGCCACCUGGUAAGGCUGACUCAAACGCCAGGCUGACGGGCUGCUGAAUCACCACUGUUAGCCCUGAUCCAGUAGUGGGUUCCAUGCUGGGAAGCUAGCUACAGGGUCAGCCGUUCAAGACCAUUAGCCACUGCAUGAGGAAAAGCCAAGGCUUUCUAUUCCUGUGAAGAUUUACAGUCUCAGAACCUCACAGAGGCAGUUCUACCUAUUCUAUAGGGUCAGUAUGCAUUGGCAUCAACUCAAUGGCAGUGAGCUUGAACUAUGUCCUAGAUGAAUUGAAAUGCAAGGGCAUCCUACAAAACUCCUGCACUCUUCAAAAUUGUCCUGGUCAUGAGAAACCAGGAACGACCAGGAUUCUGUUAUGAAGGAGACCUGGUGAGAAAUGCAGCCUGGGAUCCUGACACAGAGCAAAGGUGUUUCUGGGAAUCUAGUAAGAUGCCACUGGCCUCUGGUGUUCAGUUAAGAGUAAAGCCGCAGCCUCGGGUUCUUCCUUUGCUAAGCAUAUCACGGUGAGGUCAACAAGAGAGAAAAGUGUGUGUGUGUGUGUUUGUGAUAUGGGAACCCCCUGCACAAUUUUCUGUCAGUCUAAACUGAUACCCAAACAAACAACCAAAAUAAAACUUUAUUAAAACAGAA